CUACGGGGCGCACCAGUGAGGAAUCUUGCGCAAUGGGGGAAACCCUGACGCAGCCACGCCGCGUGGGUGAAGAAGGCUUUCGGGUCGUAAAGCCCUGUCAGGUGGGAAGAAACGCAUUGAGUCGAAUAAACUCUUUGCCUGACGGUACCACCAAAGGAAGCACCGGCUAACUCCGUGCCAGCAGCCGCGGUAAUACGGAGGGUGCAAGCGUUGUUCGGAAUUACUGGGCGUAAAGGGUGUGCAGGCGGCUACAUAAGUCGGAUGUGAAAGCCCUCGGCUUAACCGAGGAAGUGCAUCCGAUACUGUGUAGCUUGAGUCCCGGAGAGGGGGAUGGAAUUCCCGGUGUAGAGGUGAAAUUCGUAGAUAUCGGGAGGAACACCAGUGGCGAAGGCGAUCCCCUGGACGAGGACUGACGCUCAUACACGAAAGCGUGGGUAGCAAACAGGAUUAGAUACCCCAGUAGUC
RNAcentral lists this ribosomal RNA (465 nucleotides) under uncultured bacterium. Its description in RNAcentral is "partial 16S ribosomal RNA". It matches the Rfam family "Bacterial small subunit ribosomal RNA", at positions 339 to 795 of the family's 1533-position model. The record is from RNAcentral.